This 301-nucleotide ribosomal RNA is filed under the name uncultured bacterium. RNAcentral describes it as "partial 16S ribosomal RNA". It matches the Rfam family "Bacterial small subunit ribosomal RNA", at positions 509 to 807 of the family's 1533-position model. The record is from RNAcentral.
CAGCAGCCACGGUAAUACGGAGGAUCCAAGCGUUAUCCGGAUUUAUUGGGUUUAAAGGGUGCGUAGGUGGCUUAUUAAGUCAGGGGUGAAAGACGGUAGCUUAACUAUCGCAGUGCCUUUGAUACUGAUGAGCUUGAAUGAACUAGAGGUAGGCGGAAUGUGACAAGUAGCGGUGAAAUGCAUAGAUAUGUCACAGAACACCAAUUGCGAAGGCAGCUUACUAUGGUUUUAUUGACACUGAGGCACGAAAGCGUGGGGAUCAAACAGGAUUAGAUACCCCAGUAGUCCCUGUCUCUUAUAC